AUGAAGCACUCGUUCAUGGCUCUCAGGGGUUGCUGCGGGGACAUGUCUUUCAGUCUCGGAAACGUGAUGAGAGGCAGAGAAGUCACGGAUUGACAGCCUGACGUGUGAUUGACACGGGCGUCGGGGCUUGCGGACAAGCGUUGUAACUCCAGCGGCCUGAGACUGGAGAGAUGGGUUGAGUCCUGGAGGCCCAGGCCCCGCAAGAUGGCUGCUCUCUUGUUCUCUGCACGCCCCCUGCUGGACCAGGGCCUUUCACCUGUGCCUACACACGUGGCCAACGUUCCUGCAUGCUUGCUCCUGCUCCAGCUGCAGGAGCAGCACCUGGGGACUUGUCAGAAGGCACGUUCUCAGGCCCCGUCCCCGACCUGCUGACUGAGAAACUCCCUCUGAAGUCUAUUGUGAUGAGCCCUACCGAUGCUUCUGUUCUUGUGUUUAGUUGCCAAGUUGUGGCCAACUCUUUGUGACCCCAUGGACUGCAGCAC
Molecule: long non-coding RNA, 482 nt
Organism: Cervus elaphus (red deer)
Lineage: Eukaryota; Metazoa; Chordata; Mammalia; Artiodactyla; Cervidae
Exons: 3
Source: RefSeq, a predicted model, not a curated record